RNAcentral lists this long non-coding RNA (1085 nucleotides) under Zalophus californianus (California sea lion). RNAcentral describes it as "lncRNA (ENSZCAG00015012786.1)". Lineage: Eukaryota; Metazoa; Chordata; Mammalia; Carnivora; Otariidae. The record is from RNAcentral.
CAAGGAACUAGAUUUAAGCUUUGGAGGGAUCGGAAAUUAAGGGACUGUAAGGAGGAUGUGAUUCAUACUAUUCUCCCUCUCCCCCUCCCACACACGACCGUAAGUCUCCCCGCUCGGCCUUCGGGGACGCGGCCCUGAUCUCUCCGCGGCCUGUGUCCCUGUCGCUUGCUCCUGUCGCUCCGGACCACUGUGUCUGGGGCGCCCUCCGCCUGGCUUCUCCUAGCCCCCGGGAGGAGGCGCUGGUGCCCGGGUCGGCCUCCGGUCCCUCCCAGCCGGCGUCCUGGAGCCCCCAUUCACAAAGCUCGGCUUGGAGGAGGCGACACACACACACACACACACACACACACACACACAGCUCGGCUUGGAGGAGGCGACACACACACACACACACACACACACACACACACACACACACACACACAGCGAAGAGGGGAGUUUGAUCUUGUCUCAUUGGCGUCUCGGGCCUGAAAAGGAAAAUCGUUUGGGUAAACAGCCAAGCUUCCAGGCUUAACGCCCGGCUCCCGCCCCCGCCCCUCCGCCCCCUCCCGCCUCCCCCACUCCCCUUCAACCCCACCCGCCACCCACACUCCGCUCCGCAGCCGGGCCCCGAGCGAGCUCCGCGCGCCCGGGCGGGAGCCGAGGGCUCCCCGGGUUCAAAGGGCCGCAGCCCCGAGGGAAUGCCCUCCUCGCUGUGCCCCGGGGGGCAGAAGCGGACUGCAGGGCGGUGGGACCGGCCUGGGCCACGAUGGUGUUCAAUGACAAAAGCCAAAUUAUUUGCAGAACUCCAGGACAUGCAUCUUUCUGCUGAGAAAACCAGUCAUUAUCAAAAAUAGUAACUCAAGAUCUGAGCUAAGUGAAACCAGAGUCCUUGAAAGGCGGCUAUCUUCAGUUCCCCCCUGCCCAAAGCCCUCCCAGUCACUCUACAUGGAUACAGAUAUGACUUGCUUUUGUUACAGUUAGAUCACAGAACCUCAGGUACGAAUAGUUUUCAUUUUAUGUCACUUCCCAACGAAAUCUUGCAAACAAGCCCAGACAGGAGCCGGUGUUUUCCUACACAUGUUAACAUUGACCUUGCCACUUUGAAC